UGAGUGUGUGUUUGGCCAUGCAGAUUUCAUAACUACAACUGAUGUUCAAUUACAAUGGAUAUUAAUCAGUCUCACUGUGCCUAAUCACUGUGCCUAGUUUCAUCCUCAGAGACUGAUGUGUAAGCUUAAAGUAAAGACAUCAAAUCAAAGUAUCAGCCAUCAAGAGGAAAAACAUUCGAAAUCAUAUUGUGAUACACAAGUCAAGCAAGUCUAUGACCAGCAUUUUGAUACAGGCCAAGAAAAAGCUGGAUACUUGAUUGGAAGGGUGGCACAAAAAACAUGGAUUAUCACUAGGGAAACAAGCUCGCAAUACAGUUCACUGUUAGGACAGCAAGCCAAAUACUUCUAAACUUAUUUGAAUCAUUUUUGCUGUUUAUUAUAAUUCAUCCAAUUGUCUUAUUAAAUAUAUAAAUUUAUAUAUAUACACAAUUCCUAAUAUAGAAUUUCUAAAAAUGUUUUAUUAUAAUAUUUAAAAAUGAAACAAACAUGUUCCCAGAACACAACCACAUAAUGUCAACAUGUUCCCAGAACACAGCCACAUAAUGUCAACAUGUUCCCAGAACACACAAAAUGGCAACAUGUUCCCAGAACACAGCCAAAUAAUGUCAACAUGUUCCAUGAACUCACAAAAUGGCAACAUGUUCCCAGAACACACUAAAUGUCAUUAUGUGCCCAGAACACACAAAAUGGCAACAUGUUCCCAGAACACACAAAAUGACAACAUGUGCCGAGAACAAUGCCCCUUACAGAUGACGUGUUCCCAGAACACAGCCCGUAGUUGGCCUGCCAUAAAAAGUUAACAAUACUUCACUUUUUCCUUAACAAUUUUACAAGCAGGUAAGAAAGCCAUAAAUCUUUACUGUGGUGGAUAUAGCCAAUAAAAGUAGGGUAACCUUCACUAUAUGCAAUUUGUAGUUUUCAAUGCCUGUCCCAUGCAUAUUAUUUAGCCUAGUGUUUUGGGCCUUGCUUCAUUUACUCAAUAAAUUAUAUAGGCAUGAGAAUUUUCAUUUUAAUCUGCAAAAGCUACAUUCUGUAGAUUAUUAUUUUCAAACGACAUCAUAUAUUUUUCUCUUCUCUGAUAAAAAAUAUUCCUCAUAUUGUUUGUGUCAAGUAUUUUAUUUUUAUCUAUGCAAUACUAUAUUCCUAUUUUAUAAUAAUUACUUAG
Molecule: long non-coding RNA, 1165 nt
Organism: Physella acuta
Lineage: Eukaryota; Metazoa; Mollusca; Gastropoda; Physidae
Source: RefSeq, a predicted model, not a curated record